RNAcentral lists this transfer RNA (71 nucleotides) under Hemiarma marina. Its description in RNAcentral is "tRNA-Gly". It matches the Rfam family "tRNA". Rfam says of the family: Transfer RNA (tRNA) molecules are approximately 80 nucleotides in length. The record is from RNAcentral. Lineage: Eukaryota; Cryptophyceae; Goniomonadida; Goniomonadaceae.
GCGGGUAUCGUUCAACGGUAGGAUGUCUGCCUUCCAAGCAGAAGAUGUGGGUUCGAUUCCCACUACCCGCA